This 3063-nucleotide long non-coding RNA is filed under the name Olea europaea subsp. europaea. The record is from RNAcentral. Lineage: Eukaryota; Viridiplantae; Streptophyta; Magnoliopsida; Lamiales; Oleaceae.
UAUCAUUAUAAAAAUUAUCCAUUCCUUACGAAAACAUUUUAUAUAGUCGUCAAGAGUGACCACGUGACAAAAAAAUAUUGCCCAUUAACUGAGUUUUUGCCUAUAUAAACAACCUGAGCUAUAUACUCUUCAGUUUCAUCAUAAACAGCUAUUCUGCUUUUAAGAUAAUAUUUUCUCAUCUUUCUUAUACUAUUUACAAGAAGAGAAUGGCCCCGACUCUUGUUGCAAAUGCUACCAAUGGCGAAAAGGAGAUUGUUCGUCCAGUCGCCAAUUUCUCUCCCAGUUUAUGGGGUGAACAGUUCAUCAAUUUUGUUUUUGAUGCUGAGGUAUCGAUCCCUAUAUAUGUUUUAGAUUUUUUAUUUAUUUAUGUGUUUGUGGCUCUGUAAUAUAAUGACUAAUGCAAAUCGUUUUAGUUUACGAAAAAUUGAAGUCAUUUAUCAAUUCGUAUGGCACUCCAAAUUUCCUCGAAGUUUUAACUUUUUCAGCAUAAAACAAGAUUUUUUCCGUUUGCUUAUAAAAGGUAGCUUUAAAUGACACGUAAUGAAUCAUCCUGGAAAUUAAUAGGAAAAUACUGCAUGGCUAGUGCCUUUAAUUCAGUUCAUCAUUUUACUACUGAUACCAAGUUAUUGAUCCUUCCCAUCAUUUUCUUCAAUGGAUUCAGUUAAGUCACGUCAUCGAUCUUGUUUUCUCAUGUCUAGUUUUCAUUAAGAAAAAAAUAUUUUUUCCCAUUUGUAAGGAUUUGAGUUCUAAUUUGUGAAAGAAUACAUCAGAUCGUUUUAACCGGGAAUUUCAAACUGCAAACUCUUUAGUAUGUAUGUUAAUAAAAGGAUUGAAACAACAUUUGCUUAUAAUACGUUGUCCUUGUGGAAUCAUGUAGUUAACAGAGAAAUAUGACAAGGAGAUUGAAGGGCUUAAGAAUGACGUGAAAAGCAUGCUAACAGCUCCUGGAAAAGACAUGGUGGAGACUAUGAAUUUGAUCGAAACACUUGAGCGCUUGGGCAUCUCAUAUCACUUUGCAAACGAGAUUGAAGAACUACUAGAUCAUUUCUUUAAUCUCAACUCAAACUAUGCAGAUGAAGCCUAUGAUUUAUACACCGUUGCACUUCAUUUUCGUUUAUUUAGACAACAUGGCCACCGUAUAUCUUGUGAUGUCUUUAAAAAAUUCAUAGACGAGACUGGAAAAUUCAAAGAGUCUAUUAAGAGCGAUGCAAUAGGAUUGUUGAGCUUAUAUGAAGCAGCAUAUUUAAGAGUGCAUGGAGAAGAUAUACUAGAAGACGCUCUCGCUUUUACAACAGAAAACCUGAAAUCCAUGGCACCAAAUCUAAGCUCUACCCUUGGGAAACAAGUAGCUCAUUCCCUUGUUCAAUGCAUCCAUUUUGGGAACCCAAGAAUUGAGGCACGUAACUUUAUCUCCAUCUACCAAGAAGAUGAGUCCAGGAAUGAAAUGCUUCUGAGGUUUGCCAAAUUGGACUAUAAUUCAUUGCAGAUGUUGCAUAAAAAGGAGCUCUAUGAAGUAUCAAGGUAAUGUUCAAUUGACAAGUUCAUAAGAUUAAAACCUCUAAGUAUGUAUGUGUGUGUGUACGUCAAUUAAUAACAUGCUUCUUAUAUAUAUUGCAGGUGGUGGAAGGAUUUGGACCUUGUUUCUAAGCUUCCAUAUGCUAGAGACCGAGUUGUAGAAUGUUUUUUCUGGGCUAUGGGAGUUUAUCAUGAACCUCAAUAUUCCAUUGCUCGAAUCAUGCUCACCAAAACCAUUGCAAUGACGUCAAUAAUAGAUGAUACAUAUGACGCCUAUGGUGUAGUUGAAGAACUUGAAAUUUUUACGGAUGCCAUUCAAAAGUACAUAUUUCUUUUAUUCCAUGCAUCACUAAUAGUAAAAAAUAUUUUUUUUUUGUUAUAUUAAUCAAUUGUGUACUCGUGAUUGCAAUCAUUCUAGGUGGGAUAUUAGUGAGAUUCAUCGGCUACCAGAGUAUAUCAAACCAUUUUACAGUGCUCUUCUAAAUCUUUAUGAGCAAUUUGAUGAAGAACUAUCGAAAGAAGGACGAUCUUAUGCCAUCUACUAUGCAAAAGAAGCGGUUAGUGUUACUUUUUAAUAUUACUCCUCGAUUAUGUUAUUCCUAUUUUUCUUGCUUUCUAUUAUCUUUCUUAUACCUAAGUUUCCCUGGUUAACUCACACAUGUCAUAAAAAAAUUGUUCAGCUAAAAGAACUUGUAAGGACAUACUAUGUAGAAGCCAAGUGGUUUAUUGAAGGAUACUUGCCACCAUUUUCGGAGUACAUGAGCAAUGCCUUAAUAACGUGCACUUAUGUGUAUCAUACAACUACAUCCUUAUUGGGGAUCAAAUCCGUUACCAAGGAAGAGUUUGAGUGGCUAAGCAAAAAACCUAAAAUGCUUGUUGCAAGCCUCAUAAUAUGUCGGCUCGUUGACGAUAUAGCGACCUAUGAGGUAUGGAAUACAAAAAUUUUGUUGUAAGUAAACAUCAAUUCCACUAAUAAAUAACUUUAUUUCCCUUAUUUAAGAGUUUUCUCCACAUUUUGUCUCAUUAAAGGUUGAGAAGGGAAGGGGCCAAAUUGCUACCGGCAUUGAAUCGUACAUGAAGGAAAAUGGUGUGACAAAAGAAGUGGCUGUUGAUAAAUUUUUUGAAAUGGUUGCAAAUGCAUGGAAGGAUAUUAAUGAAGAAUGUUUCCGACCAAGUUCCUCUCCAAGAGAAAUUUUGAUGCGAAUUCUAAAUCUUGAACGCAUUAUAGAUGUCACUUAUAAAGGCAAUGAAGAUGGAUAUACACAACCACAAAAAGUUCUAAAGCCUCACAUCAUUGCUUUGUUUAUUGAUCCCAUCGAGGUCUAAGUACUAUUUGGGAUCAGGUUGGACAAAAAUGGAUAUCUUUAAAUUUUAAUUUGUUUUACUUUUAUGUAAAAUCGUUGAGUAUGUUUGCAAUAAAAUUCUAAUGUACUUCCUUUUCAAAGUCAUUUAUUCUUCGAUAUUAUUGACAUUCACGAUCAAAAUUAAUGCAACGAACUGGAUGCCUUCCCUUACCAGUGACAACAGAGAAACGAGGCAAAAUUCAAC